GCAUUAAUGGGGUAGUGGUAACCUGGGUCGUUGCCAUACGGAGACCUAGGUUUCGACCCGCCGGGGGUUCGAUUCCCCCUUAAUGCA
Molecule: non-coding RNA, 87 nt
Organism: Stygiomarasmius scandens
Lineage: Eukaryota; Fungi; Basidiomycota; Agaricomycetes; Agaricales; Campanellaceae
Source: the annotation of a GenBank genome assembly